AUUUGGGGUUGGGGAUAUGAGAGAGAAAGAGAGACGUAUUAUAGAGUGAGAUGUAGAGAGAGAGAGAGUAUAUGAUACAGAUAAUGAGAUAUUGUAGUCGUCGGCGAGGGAGGAGAGAGGGAAGGGAGUAUAGACUAGAGAGAGAAAAGGAACAAACGGAGGAGGGGUGCUUUAAAUGACGGCACAUGGGCGGCACUCUGCCGUCUUCUUUUACUUAUAAAUUGGUGAAGGUGCUUUCGCUUUCUUCUCAAUCCUCCGCGAGUCCUCGCUCUCCUUACUGCUUCCUAUUCUCCAUACCCUUCUCCCCUCGUCUGCCAUCUUCACGUGGUUCUGCUUCCUCUUCCCCUCUCUUCUCUGCAGAUCUUAUCUGUUUCCAUUCUUCUGGUUUCUUUUGGGCGGGUCCUUUCUUGAGAAUAAUCAGUCGGUUUCUGUAGUAGUCUACUGCUAUUCCUUGGCUCUGCAUCUGUCCGUCUGUGUGUGUGUGUGAGAGAGAGAGAGAGAGAGAGAGAUUACUACACAAAGGACAGGCAAAGUUAGAGACAUGGAAGGGAAGAAACAAGUGGGUUCAUCCUCCUCGUUGCCUUCUGAUCUUUUCGGAAAGGAAUCCUCAUCAUCCAAGGGAAUUUUUGAGUCUGUUUUUCCGCCUCCAUCAAAGCCUGUAGAGAGGGACUCUUCGCAUUCCGAGCUGAUGGGAACGUUGAGAAAACAAGAUUCUGGGUCUCAUUGCUGGAACAACAAACAGGGAGCUCCAGAUCACAGGGCUCAAAGCAGAGAAGGUUAUAACAGUAGCACACCCAACAAGGACAGUAGUUCCAUUUAUCAGAAUGAGUCAGUGGGGCUUUGCUCAUUCAGCUCAUCCCUUUACUAUGGUGGACAAGACAUCUAUUCGAAUUCCUCCAGUACCCGGGCAUCAUCUGGUUCUACCCCUGUUGUGACCCAUUAAAUCAAAGAUAAAAUAUCUAACAUUCUGUAAUACAAAAUUGUGUGAUCUCAUUAGUACAAGGAAGAUGGGCGAGAUGAUUCAAAUGAAGAUUUAAACAGUGCUUCAAGAGGCAAUUGGUGGCAAGGUUCACUCUAUUACUAAAACCUUGUCUCUAAGUAUGUUAAUAAAUUCAACUAUCUAUUAAGGAGUUAGAUAACGUCCCGGAAGUGACUUUUAUCUGCCAUGUGUAACACGGAAGAUAGAUGCUUCUCUAUAGUUUAUAGUUACGUGUUAGUUUGGAUGGGAACAGCUGUGGCUCUUAUGUAGCUUCUUCUGGUUUUACCCAAACAAAUAGACAACGUUUAAUGUGAUCUGAUCUUUGUUUCUUAGAAGGUUUUAACUGUAAUAAGAUGCUGAAGGGACGAGUUGUAAAUUUUCAUUACUGCUUUAUGGGUUGUGUAUCUUGGACUUUUUAUAUAUGUGGAAUAUGUACUGAUAAAUAAUGUAAGUGAAUAAUAUUUACUAAGUUAAGUUUCUA
RNA transcript from Macadamia integrifolia, 1460 nucleotides. RefSeq lists it as uncharacterized. NCBI's taxonomy places the organism in Eukaryota, Viridiplantae, Streptophyta, Magnoliopsida, Proteales, Proteaceae. The record is from RefSeq and is a predicted model, not a curated record. The transcript has 6 exons.